AACUACACUAGGCUUGUUAGAGAGUGGAAGGCCAGCACUUGUAUCGGUGGCUCUAGUAGUUGGUACAGAAAAGGGAAGCAAGUUAGUAUCCUGAGGAAGGGCAGGAGGCAAAGAAACAGGAGCUUUGUUAGAAAACAAAGGAGGUGUCAUCUCUGAAGCUAGGGAAGGAGAUGGUGCUGAUUGCAUUGUUGAUUGCAGGCCUGAAGACAGCGUCAUAGGUAGACUAGUAAAAGGUAACGAACUGGGUGCUGGAGUUUGAGAACUACUGCUAAAGGGAAACAAAGAAGAG
Molecule: long non-coding RNA, 289 nt
Filed under: Brassica rapa (field mustard)
Lineage: Eukaryota; Viridiplantae; Streptophyta; Magnoliopsida; Brassicales; Brassicaceae
Description: long non-coding RNA (BRAP_LNC005181)
Source: RNAcentral